RNAcentral lists this unclassified non-coding RNA (230 nucleotides) under uncultured fungus. RNAcentral's name for it is "sequence contains ITS2". The record is from RNAcentral. Lineage: Eukaryota; Fungi.
AACGCACAUUGCGCCUCUCUUUACAGGGAGGCAUGCCUGUCUGAGCGUCAUUUAAACCAAUGGGUAUGACUUAUUAGUUCGUGCUCGUAUUGGGUCUCGCCUUUCGGCGUUACCUUGAAACAAUUGGUCUAGAUUAGCGGACGAGAUCCUUUAGGACUAACCGCAAAUUCAGACACAACAUAAUUUCUGAUUUUGACCUCAGAUCAGGUAGGGACACCGCCUGAACUUAA